This 468-nucleotide ribosomal RNA is filed under the name uncultured bacterium. RNAcentral's name for it is "partial 16S ribosomal RNA". It matches the Rfam family "Bacterial small subunit ribosomal RNA", at positions 28 to 507 of the family's 1533-position model. The record is from RNAcentral.
GACGAACGCUGGCGGCGUGCUUAACACAUGCAAGUCGAACGGAAAGGCCCUGCUUUUGUGGGGUGCUCGAGUGGCGAACGGGUGAGUAACACGUGAGUAACCUGCCCUUGACUUUGGGAUAACUUCAGGAAACUGGGGCUAAUACCGGAUAGGAGCUCCUGCUGCAUGGUGGGGGUUGGAACGUUUCGGCGGUUGGGGAUGGACUCGCGGCUUAUCAGCUUGUUGGUGGGGUAGUGGCUUACCAAGGCUUUGACGGGUAGCCGGCCUGAGAGGGUGACCGGCGACAUUGGGACUGAGAGACGGCCCAGACUCCUACGGGAGGCAGCAGGGGGGAAUAUUGCACAAUGGGCGGAAGCCUGAUGCAGAAACGCCGCGUGCGGGAUGACGGCUUUCGGGUUGUAAACCGCUGUCGCCUGUGACGAAGCGUGAGUGACGGUAAUGGGUAAAGAAGCACCGGCUAACUACGUG